This 497-nucleotide ribosomal RNA is filed under the name uncultured bacterium. RNAcentral's name for it is "partial 16S ribosomal RNA". It matches the Rfam family "Bacterial small subunit ribosomal RNA", at positions 28 to 507 of the family's 1533-position model. The record is from RNAcentral.
GAUGAACGCUGGCGGCGUGCCUAAUACAUGCAAGUCGAGCGAACGGACGAGAAGCUUGCUUUUCUGAUGUUAGCGGCGGACGGGUGAGUAACACGUGGAUAACCUACCUAUAAGACUUGGAUAACUUCGGGAAACCGGAGCUAAUACCGGAUAAUAUUUUUAACCGCAUGGUUCAAAAGUUAAAUACGUUCUUGCUGUCACUUCUAGCUGUAUCCGCGCUGCAUUAGCUAGUUGGUAAGGUAACGGCUUACCAAGGCAACGAUGCAUAGCCGACCUGAGAGGGGGAUCGGCCACACUGGAGCGGAGACGCGGACAAGACGCCUAAGGGAGGCAGCAGUAGGGAAUGUGACGCAAUGGGCGAAAGCAUGACGGAGCAAGGCCGAGUGAGUGAUGAAGGUCUUCGGAGCGUAAAACUCUGUUAUGAGGGAAGAACAUAUGUGGAAGUAAAUGUGCACAUCGUGACGGUACCUAAUCAGAAAGCCACGGCUAACUACGUG